RNAcentral lists this ribosomal RNA (583 nucleotides) under Hyalessa maculaticollis. Its description in RNAcentral is "12S ribosomal RNA". The record is from RNAcentral. Lineage: Eukaryota; Metazoa; Arthropoda; Insecta; Hemiptera; Cicadidae.
UUAUACAAGAUUUUCAAUUUAAUAUAUACAAGUAUUCAGUUAAUUGUUAUUUUUUUAUAAUUUUAUGAAUUUUGGUGAAAUAAUAUUUGUUAUAAAUAUAAAUUUUAUAUGUCUGAUAAACUAUUAAUAUAAACUAGGAUUAGAUACCCUAUUAUUCAAAGGUGUAAAUUAAGUUAACUUGAUUAUUAAUAGAUAUAAUCUUUAAAUUCAAAGAAUUUGGCGGUAAUUUACCUUAUCAGAGGAACCUGUUUUAUAAUUGAUAAUCCACGAUAGAUCAUACUUCAUUAUGACUUGUAUACCGCUGUCAAGAAUGUUCUUUUAGGAAAUUUUCUGUAUCUUUAAUAAACUUAAUGUCAGGUCAAGGUGCAGUUACAAUUAUGAAAGCAAAAAUGGGUUACAUUUUAUUAUAUAAUUGAAUAUAUUCUAUUAUAUUUAGAUUAUUGAAAUUGAAUUUGAAAAUAAAUUAAUUAAAUUUAAUUAAUUGAAAUAAGCUCUAUAUUAUGCACAUAUCGCCCGUCACUCUCAUUUUAAGAUGAGAUAAGUCGUAACAAAGUAGCUGUACCGGAAGGUGUAGCUAGAAUGA